Molecule: ribosomal RNA, 253 nt
Filed under: uncultured bacterium
Lineage: Bacteria
Description: partial 16S ribosomal RNA
Rfam family: Bacterial small subunit ribosomal RNA
Source: RNAcentral
UACGGGGGGGGCAAGCGUUGUUCGGAAUUACUGGGCGUAAAGGGCUCGUAGGCGGCCAACUAAGUCGGAUGUGAAAUCCCCAGGCUUAACCUGGGAACUGCAUCCGAUACUGGAUGGCUUGAAUCCGGGAGAGGGAUGCAGAAUUCCAGGUGUAGCGGUGAAAUGCGUAGAUAUCUGGAGGAAUACCGGUGGCGAAGGCGGCAUCCUGGACCGGCAUUGACGCUGGGGAGCGAAAGCCAGGGGAGCAAACGGG